Molecule: long non-coding RNA, 1435 nt
Filed under: Homo sapiens (human)
Lineage: Eukaryota; Metazoa; Chordata; Mammalia; Primates; Hominidae
Description: FTX transcript, XIST regulator
Source: RNAcentral
GGAGACAGGCCACAUUUGGGCAGUACGCAUUCGGAGGGCUCUCUGGCUUUCCGAUCUUGGGUCGCUGUACUUGGCUCUGAAUACAGUCACCCCAUCAGAGUAGCAAAACACUGUGGUUGUAGUGUGAGAAUCCAAUGUUAAUGUUGGCCGAAAGCUCUUGAUUUUCUUCCCUGAGAACAUAGGCGUGAGGAUUUGGAUGUGUUUCCAAAUGCUUGUUACUCUUUGCCGUAAACCUGGAAUUUGGACCUAUGGCUGCCUGGGACUCAUACUGUCGUGGAGAAAGAUUGAAAAGUAGUUAAUGGCAGUGGUGGUAUGAAGGUGAUGCCACACUCAAUCAGAAACUAUGCUACUGCUGAAGAGGUAUAUUGAGCCCUGCCUGGUUAACCUCCAGUGAGGUUAUUAGAGAAUUGGGAGAGGCUCAAAUCAGCAUCCUGCACCUAGUUAUCAAACCAUUGUGAAGUCUUGAUUCCUGGAUGGCCAGAAAACUUGUCAUUGGUCAAGAGCAACAUUAAGAUCUGCCUGUUACUCAUACUGAUGCUUCCUGCCCAGCAAGUUCAUCAGAGGGCGAGGAUGAAUUACGGUUGCCAUGAAUGUCCUUGUGAGGCAGUUGGGAAGCCUUGGCUGGAUUGUGAAGGAUAUUUGAAAAGUAUUUUAGAGUCCACCAGAUCAUCCAUGUGAGUGACCAUGCAGCAAAAGAAGGAGGGUCCUCUCAGUGAUUAAGGUAACAUAGUGAUUAAGGUAAGUAGGGAAAGAGAGGCUUACUUUGCCCUGAUUCUUGUCAGGGAGGCUCUUAGAGAUGCCAUUUCCAGAGCAUAAGUGACAGGCCAGCAUUUUCAAAGCUUGCAACUUAUUCUAUAAUAUAUCCUUCUUAAAACAAUUCAUGUAGAUUAUAUGCUCACCCAGUCUGGGAUCACUCCUGCAGAAGAUCAGAAGAACUGAAAUAUAGGUGACAUAAGCUCCUGCUUUUGUAAAUGUUUUGUUGAAACACAGUUGUGUUCAUCCAUUAUUGUCGAUGGCAGCUUUCAUGCUACAGCAGAGUUGAGUAGUUGGGAGAGAAACCAAAUGGACCAUAGAGUUUGAAAUAUUACUGUCUGGCCCUUCACAGAAAGUUUGCCAAUUCCUGGCAUAGGUUAAAUAAAUGUACUAUAUCCACAAAUCCUCCUCUCCCCAUUUUCCUUUCAAUGGGACUUGCAUUUACAGUUGAUCCUAGAAUGUAUGGAAUCUCAUAGUAAUCAGCUUGCUUCUGAAUUUCUUCCCACUCAAAUUAAGCUCACUCAGAAAGCACAUUCACAAAUUGGGCUACAUAUACAGAAGGAGCUAUGUUUUAUAUGCCUCACUGUAGUCAACUCAUUUAUCCUAUAUGUAUGGUUCCCCCAUUUUUUCCUUCUUUUCAGGGGUAACUUUUAAACUUGAGCCAUUCAUGAGUAUCCAAAAA